UACGUAGGUGGCAAGCGUUGUCCGGAUUUACUGGGCGUAAAGCGCGCGCAGGCGGUCGUUCAAGUCGCGUGUGAAAGCCCCCGGCUCAACUGGGGAGGGUCACGCGAUACUGAUCGACUCGAAGGCAGGAGAGGGUAGUGGAAUUCCCGGUGUAGUGGUGAAAUGCGUAGAUAUCGGGAGGAACACCAGUGGCGAAGGCGACUACCUGGCCUGUUUCUUGACGCUGAGGCGCGAAAGCUAGGGGAGCAAACGGG
This 254-nucleotide ribosomal RNA is filed under the name uncultured bacterium. Its description in RNAcentral is "partial 16S ribosomal RNA". It matches the Rfam family "Bacterial small subunit ribosomal RNA", at positions 524 to 776 of the family's 1533-position model. The record is from RNAcentral.